AAGCAUAUCACUGAGCGCAGGAGAAGAAACUAACCAGGAUUUCCCUAGUAACGGCGAGCGAACCGGAAAGAGCCCAGCUUGAAAAUCGUGGCGCCCCGGCGCCUCGAAUUGUAGUCUGGAGAAGGUCCCUCUGCGGCGCGCCGGACCCAAGUUCCCUGGAAAGGGACGCCAUCGAGGGUGAGAGCCCCGCUGAUUCCGGAGUGCGCCGCUCCACGAGGACCUGUCUGCGAGUCGGGCUGUUUGGGAAUGCAGCCCUAAGCGGGUGGUAAAUUCCAUCCAAGGCUAAAUAUUGGCAAGAGACCGAUAGCGAACAAGUACCGCGAGGGAAAGAUGAAAAGGACUUUGAAAAGAGAGUUAAAAAGUGCUUGAAAUUGCUGGGAGGGAAGCGAAUGGAAGCUGCGGGUGCGCCCCGGUUGGAUGUGGAACGGCUGUCAAAGGCUGGUCCGCCGCUCAACGCGGGGCGCUGGUCAGCGUGGGCCAUCGCGGCGGGACAAGAGCGGGGAUUCGCUUCCCGCCGAUGCCGCUGCGGUGGCCGAGGAACGAAGCGCGCGCUCUUCAUGGGCGUGGGACUUGUCCCAACUGCGCGCUCGGGACGCUGGCGUAUUGAGCUCUUCAUCCGACCCGUCUUGAAACACGGACCAAGGAGUCUAACAUGUAUGCGAGCCGGUGGGCGGCAAACCCAUUGAGGCGCAAGUAACCUGACAGGUGGGACCCCGACCGCAAGGGAGGGAGCACCAUCGACCGACCGUGAUCUUCUGUGAAGGGUUCGAG
This 771-nucleotide ribosomal RNA is filed under the name Lewinskya speciosa. Its description in RNAcentral is "partial 26S ribosomal RNA". It matches the Rfam family "Eukaryotic large subunit ribosomal RNA", at positions 36 to 794 of the family's 3401-position model. Lineage: Eukaryota; Viridiplantae; Streptophyta; Bryopsida; Orthotrichales; Orthotrichaceae. The record is from RNAcentral.